Podarcis lilfordi (Lilford's wall lizard) is the source of this 8066-nucleotide non-coding RNA. The record is from the annotation of a GenBank genome assembly. Lineage: Eukaryota; Metazoa; Chordata; Lepidosauria; Squamata; Lacertidae.
CCUAAACUCACAUGGCAAUUAACCCUAACAAAGCAAGCAAUAUCAAGCUCACAUUCAGGUGGGUUAUGUCCAAAACGAACCUUUUAGUAGGAAUAACACCCUGCAAACCUCUUUCAGUGGGUCAAAUCAAAAGGGAGGGCAGUGAAAAUGCCUGCAAGCCUGGCUGUACUUGUUUGGAAUGGCAAAACAGACCCUCCAAGUGUCCCUAUUUUCCAGGCACAGUCCCAGAUUUACAGAAUCCAUCCAGGUUUCUCAUUUGAUCCCAGAAUGUCCCAAAUAGGAUGCAUGGAGUUUGUGACCCCUGAGCCAAAGAGAAAGGUAACUUGACAACUAUACAACAACUAUUCAACAUCUGAAGGUAGUCCUGUAUAGGGAAGUUUUUAAAUAUUUCAUGUUUUUAUAUAUGUUGGAAGCUACCCAGCAUGGCCCAGUCAAAUGGGCAGGGAAUAAUAAUAAUAAGAAGAAGAAUAAGAAUAAGAAUAAGAAUAAUAAUAAGAAUAAUAGAAUAGGCUGUCCCUAUUUUCAUUGGAGAAAUGUUGGAGGGUGUGGCAAAAUAGGCUUCAGAUGAGUUCAAAUGGGGAAAGGAAGAUCACAUGAUUGGCUGCUUCAAAAGAAGACUUCCUCAUCCCUCUGAAGACCCUAGAGGCAGGCAGGCAGGCAGGCAGGCAGGCACCCAAAAGCUGCUCGUCCUUGAUGGCAAGAGAGGUGCCAUUUUCAAGAGAGCAAUGGACUGGCAACAGGAAACAGAAGCCAGAAAAGACUUUUAGGUUCUCUUGUAUCAUGGCUGCAUUAGUGUUUUCUCCCUGAAGUUCUGAACCAACUAGCAUAAUCUCAAGGCAUGGACAUUAUGUAGGCCUGAUUCCUACCUCUCACCCAGAGUCAUAAGAUUCAAGCUAAGUCCUAAUUUAUCCUAAGAGAUUCUGAGGGACCAGGCUUUAUUAAAGCCUUCCAAGUAUUGCAAGGUAAAUUGCCAGUGGCCAGCCUCUAAUGCCAGGCCUUGCAAACGUGUCCACCACCUUCUGAAGGUAAGGUCUCUCAGGACAGGUGAGUUUAUCAGGAGGGUUUCUUCUCAUCCUUAAUUAGAUAUCAAUUGAAUUUGAAUUUCACAUGCAGUACCUAGGACUUAUUAGAAAGAUAUUUCAUAGCGCUGAUAUAAUUUCCCCAAGAAGCCAAUGAUCAUACUGAGUUAUACAAUGUGUUUCAGCAGUUCUACAAACUUAGUAUAUAACCUUGAAUGAAAAGACAAUUACUCAAUGUGCAGAAUUGUUGCCCUUUGCUAGAUAAGGGUCAGAUUUUGAACACCCAUUUAAUUUAUAAGGCAGGCGAAACAUUUUUUGAAAAAAGAACCAUGAAAUAGUUGGGUACUUCUUUUGCAGUUUAUAUGCAACUUUUAAUCUGUGAAAGUGGCAAUAACAGAUCUAUCCAAAGUAUGUACUUUACAAAUAAAUUCUGUUGAGCUCAGUGGAAACUAUUCUCAGGUACAAGUGCAUUUAAAAAAACCACCUGACCAUUUCAGGCUAAUCAGGAUCCAGCACAGGAUAUCCACUCAUGUGCAUGUGAAAGAUUAUUUUCCUGUUCAGCUGUGCCCCCUUGUUAGUCCAUCUAGAUAUGACAAUGAAUUUCUUUCUGAGCAGCACAGUCUAGAAUUUGUCUCGGUAUUCUUUUUAUAUUUUCAAUUUAGUAUGUAUUGAUUUCUCUUUCUACUGUUCUAUUUUUAGCUUAGUCUCACAAAGAUUAUGACCCCUAAGAAUAUCACCUAUUCUAUUAGCUCAUCCUGAGCAAAUGGACAGUCUCUCAACCUCUGGCACACAUGGUCAACAGGUGCUUUUUGUUUUCUUUAUCGGCAUGUAUCAUGAAUUCCAUCUAGGGUUGCCAUACGUCUGGAUUUUCCCGGACAUGCCCUCUUUUUGUGUUUGUGGGGGGAUUUUGGUGGGGGUGAGACCUUUAAAACUUGUCAAAACGUCCGGAAUUUUUUUGUUUUGGCUUCUAAAGAGAACUACAUUUCCCUUGAGGCCUCGGGGAUUCUGAAGCCGGCAGUUCCGAUCUAGCUGCCCGCUGGCUGUCCCGGGCGGGUGCCGUGUCGGAUGCCGGAGGGAAGUGGAGAGCGAGGCGGCAGCUGAGAGGAAGCGGGGGGCGCGCGGGAGAGGACGGAGGGUCCCCCGGAGCCGAGCAGCGAAGAGGAGCCGGGCGGGCUGGGCGGGAGCCGGCGCCCGGGAAGAGGCUGGGCGGUGGGGCGCCGCCUCCUCCUCCGGAGCUGGACCAGAGGCCGGGGAGGAGGAGGAGGAGGGAGGCGAGGGCGCGGCGGGGAAGGAGCCUCCUCCGUCAGGAGGCAGGAAGAUGCUGGGAGGCACCUCCUUGUUUUGCUUUUCCGGGGGGAAAGAAACCCAUCCGUUGGUUUUCUCUUUUCUUUCGCUCCCUUCGGUGUUGUGUCUCCGUCUCCUUUUCUCUGCCGGCUGCAGUGAGCCACCAAGAGGCAGCAAACUCGAGCGCUUCUGCCUCGCAUCCCCUCGCCAGACUCCGGUCAAAGAAGCGGAUGAAGCUUCAGCCGCCAAACCAAAUCUCCAGGGGAUCCGUGUUGGGAGGCAGGCUGGGCCUCCCUCCCCUAGGUCAGUUUCACCCAACGCAUGGUCAAAUCCACCUCUGCCAAAGAGCGCUCUUCUGCUUUAAACGUCCCGUUCCAACCUCAGUUUGCAGAAUUUAGGGAUCGAUCGCCUCUCCCUUCUCUCUCUUCUGCUUCUUCCUCCUUUCCGCCUAGAUCUCUCAGCUAGCGUUUAUUUAUAUGGAGAUCAGCUCUUCUUCCCUCCCCGCACCUUGGAUCGUCAUGAUGCAAACCCAGGAUAUGUAUUUGUAUUAUUUAAUAUUCUUUGUUAUUGGAAACACACUUCCUUAGGUGGGGGAUCAAGUUUUGUAAGGACAGGUAACAGAAAGCACCCCACCUAUCAAGUCUUUGCUGGAGAGAAAAUGUGUCUGAAGAUCUGCAUAUGACCUCCUCCACCUGCCCCCCCUUUUUUCUUUUUUUUUCUUCCCAGGAGGGGUUAAAAUGACCAGGAGCUGGAUUUGUUUUGAUCGCUAGCAGUUUAUUAAUUUUUAAAUCCUACCUAAGAUAAAAUGGACCAGCCGUCUGGAUAGAUAUUAAAAGUGUGUGUGUGUGUGUGUGUGUGAGAGAGAGAGAGAGAGAGAGAGAGAGAGAAAUUGGUAUUUUACAGCACCUUUUUCAGCAGCUAUAAAUGAGAUCUAGUUUCCAUCCCUGCUAAAUCACAUUAAAAAAAUGUUUCCCAGUUCUCAUGAUUGAGAGAUGUCUCAUGACAGGCUAGGCUUCCUUUGCUCCAGCAGAAUCUGAUGCUGAUGGGGAAGAGUCCCCCUGGGGUGUGUACUUGAUUAAUCAUUUAUUCUGUAAGGUGGGUGGCAUCACAGUGCAUUAGGUGAAGUUUUACUAGCAAAAGCAUAAACUCUGUAGUGGGUGAUUCCCCCUAGCAAUGGCCUUGGAAUGAUGUACAUGCUGAUGAGGAAGCAGAGAAACUGCUAUUCAGUGUCUGUGCAUACAAACAUUCUGACUGAUUUUUGCAUUUGUUUUCUCUUUAAAAACAAAAGCACCCAUCAGUUGCUACAUCAAAGUAAAGAAUGCUUUGCUGAACAUUUCAAAUUGUAGGGCUCUGUGGUGGCGGAGCAAUGCAAAACUCUUACUUCAGUGGAGUUGCUUGUAAAACUGGAAGAAGGGUUUCUUCUGGGGAGUGGAUGACAGAAAGCAUGUGCUGUGAGAUGUUUCAUUAGGCUGGAGGUUUGAGGGGGAAGGAAGACAUUCCCUUCUACUUUCUGCAUAGGAGAAGAAGAAGAAUUUAUUAUUUAUACCCCGCCCAUCUGGGUGGGUUUCCCCAGCCACUCUGGGUGGCUUCCAACAAAAUAUUAAAAACACAAUAAAAUAUCAGAGAUUAAAAACUUCCUUAAACAGGGCUGCCUUCAGAAACUACAAUAGGGUAGUUUCAUCUGCUUGUCCUGUGCAUGCAGGGAUCCCUCAUGGACGGAUAUGGCUUCAACUAGCUGUUGUUUAGGGUGCUACUUAAGGUUGUAAUAAUUCCUCCUUUUUGCCUAUGCUCCAUCAAGUGUUGGCCAAAUAUAUUUCAUCUACAUUACUGCAUGUGGCAGUGCCCCAGCAGUGGCAGCGACGACAGCCAUGUGCCUCCCAGGCUCCAUUCACCCUCCAUGCAUGUGCUUGGGGAAAGAGGCAAGAGGCUCUGUCAUCAUCCUGGCGCCCUGCUGCCAGCUUCCUUCCCCAAGACCAAGAAACACUUGCCCAGCUUUGGGAAGGAAACGGGAGGAUUCUUGGACCCUGUCGGAGCCCUCCUGGCUCCAUCCCAAAGCCAGGCAAGCGCUUCCUGGCCUUGGGGAAGGAGGCACAAGGCUCUGCCAGGAUCCUGGAGCCUUGCUGCCUCCUUUCCUGAGCAUGUGCAGAGCACCUACCCCUUUUGCCCACUUGGCUGUCCCUCCAGCCAUUUCUAGGCAGGGAGUACCAGCACCUUCUUUUCCAAAAAAAAAAAAAAAAGCACUGUGAGUUGUCAUGUAUAUAUUUGUGCUGUUAAUUGACAUCAACUAGAACUUGUAAUCUAUGUAUGUUGGUGGUGGUGGCUUUGAUAUAAAUAGUUGGCAAUUAGUAAAUAUUAGCGAUGGCUAGAUCUGGUAGUUUCUAAAGCUGUUCUGGAGAAAGCAAUAUUUGUUUUGUUUAUUAAGCCUUUUUUUAUAAAAAUGCUUAGCAACACCACCUUCUUCUAGAAAUUAAGCUUUACGAGGAGCGGUUGAAGGAGCUGGGUAUGUUUAGCUUGCAAAACAGGAGACUGAGAGGCGAUAUGAUAGUUAUCUUCAAAUACCUUAAGGUCUGUCACAUGGAGGAUGGAACAAGCUUGUUUUCUCCUGCUCUGAAAAGUAGGACUCAGACCAAUGGCUUCAAGUUACAAGAAAGGAGAUUCUGACUAAGCUUUUUUUUUUGGGGGGGGGAUGGGACUUUCUGACAGUAAGAGCUGUUCAGCAGUGGAACAGUCUUCCUUGGGACUCUCCUUCCUUGGAGAUUUUUAAGCAGAGGUUGGAUGGCCAUCUGUCCUGGAUGCUUUAACUGAUAUUCCUGCAUUGCAGGGGGUUGGACUAAAUGACUAAAUGAGGUAAACGCCGAUUCAGCUUCUUUCAUUGAGCCGCUGCGUGUUGGUGGCAGAUCAAUGAAUGAAAAGCCGUGUCAGAGUUUACCUAAGCAUGGUGGGGACUGACCAAUGAGUCUCUGCACCACUGAAAAGCCGCGUCAGAGAUGCUUACUGCCCCACAUCGCAGUAAACGCCGAUGUGGCCUUUCAGCCUCGGAUUCUCGGCAGGGCAGGUUUUCAAAUGGUCACACAGGCCGGAUUCGUGACCCUAUCAGGCUGCAUCUGGGCCAUGGGCCGUAGUUUGGGGACCCCUGUUUUAAAGCAUUGAGUGGUGUGGCAUAUUAAUCUCCUGAGAUUGAUGCACAUAUUUUACAACACAAGGUACCGUAUUGUCUCAAAGACAAGCCACACUUCCCCCCCCCCUAAAUUCCGACUGUGUAAAGUUAUUUGUGACCUUACAAAAAGCCAGAUAUUACUGCUGAAACAGUUAUACAGUGAACCCCCCCUUAACUCUUUAACUCCUGCUGGAGCCCUGGUGAGCGGGGGUGGCAGGUGGCUGGUGGUGCCGCCGCUUUGCCCUUCCUGCUGUGCACCUCCGCUGUCGUUGGGGAGGGUGCCCCCGUCCGGUGCCAGGAGUGGUGGGCGAGGGGAUGGCAAGUGCUGGUGGGGGCUGCCGCAGCACCGCCACUAUGCGAUCCUGGCACUGUUAAUGGAGGGGUCGAGCUGCGUGUCCCCUGCAGAAUGUCUUCUUGCCAAACCAGCCCCCACCGUUAGGGAGUGGGGUGGUGCCUGCCCAGCACGGGGGGGGGGGGGAGCUGGCGGCGGGUUGUGGGUGCCUAGGCAAGCCUCCACCUCUGCCCUAUGCAAACUUCCCCCCAGCUGCUCCAUGUAGGGCUGGCGCUUCGGGGGAGUGUUGGGGCGCCUUUGGCAGCUCCUCCCCAUCAUUUCCCAGUGCGCUGUGCAGGUCCUCUAGGGCUGCAGUUUUUUUUUCUCAGACCACGUGGUUGCCACCAAUUUUAACGAAGUGGCUUUUAUUCAGGUAUUGUCUCUCUCUCUCUCUCUCUCUCUCUCCCCCCCCCGAAUUUUUAAAGUGCGGCUUAUAUUAGGGGGUGGGCUAUAUUUGGGCCAAUACAGUAAUUUGUGUUGCCGGAGUAGUGGAUAUCUGGUAGAAAUUUGCAUUACCCUGCUUCUGGAAACAGAUUUUAGCUCACACCAUAAAGGGACAUUAUUUUAAAACAUCAGUAUCAAGGGACAGGAGGCAAGAGGAACAGGGGUAGGCAAAAGUUGUUUUUUAUAUUUGAAGGCCCUCUGUCAAAUAUUUCUGAGAUAAAAUUGCAAAACAGAAUGUAUUUUAAGAGCAUUUGCUAUGACUAUUUUUAGCUGAGAUUCCUGCAUUGCAGGGAGUUGGAUUCCAUGAGUCUAUUUUAUAAUACAUCAUCAUCAUCAUCAUCAUCAUAGCAGCAUUAUCAAUGACCUUCAAAUCGCCAGUCUUUUGUAAAGCAAAUGAAUCUGUGCUUGUCCAUGCUGAAGGCCCAAAUACCUAUUAAAAAUACUUUAAAGGGUGUCAUUCUAUGGUAAUAUCACUGUAGAUGUGUGUAAGGUAACUAAAUAGUCCUAUAUUUCUGUUCUUGUAAUUUAACCUCGGCCUUAUCCCAAAGUGGGUAUUUUGAUGUCACUAAGGCAGCAAUCCUAUGCACAUAUACUUGGAUAAGCACCACUAAACAGUGAGGCUUACUUCUGAGUAAACACAUGUAAGUAAAAUAUUUCCAUCUGUUUCACAAUGAAAUCUCAAAUAGUGCUCCUGUUUGAAUAUUCUGAAAGGUUUGUCACAGUGCAGCAAGAUCUCAAAGAAGAUUAUCUUUAUAUACAUCUCCUGGUUUGGUUUCAUUAUCCAGUUAUUUUGAAUUAUCUUUUAUGACAGCCAAAUAGUUUUCUGCUGCCCAGUACCAUUUUGCCUUUCUGGGUGCACUGGUAUGCCACUUGUGGUAUGUUAGUGAAAGCUUUUUGAAAAAUUUCUUUUGGAAAGACCAACAGUGCCAUCUAUGGUAGAAGCUAAGGAACAACCAGAUAAUCUCUCAAUUCAUGCUUUGGUUUUUCAUUUAAAGAAACAAAACAUAACAAAGGUUUCUCUGUCCUUUUCUUGCAAUAACAGCAAUAAAAGAUUAUUUUUUAAAAAAUGAUUUCCGUGGAGUCUGAUGCAAAGGAACUGAUCCACACUUCCAUAAUCAUCCUUUGAAUUUCCAAAUUUUUCAAUUCACUUAUCGGAUAAAAAAUGCUUCUAAAAGUUGUGCUUUAUGAUAAAAUAUCUUCAGAAAUUCAUAAUGUAUUUUUUAGCUAUUUAAAUACAAAUGUUAAUGUGUUUUCUCCUGCUCUGGAGGGUAGGACACAAUCCAAAGGAUUCAAGUUACAAGAAAGGAGAUUCUGACUCAACACCAGGAAGAACUUUCUGACAGUAAGAGCUGUUCGACUGUGGACUCCCUUGGGAGGUUGUGGAGUCUGCUUCAUUUGAGGCUUUUCAUCAAAGGGUGCUUUAGUUGAGCUGCAUUGCAGGGGAUUGGACUAGAUACCCUCAGGAUACCUUCCAACUUUACAAUUCCAUAAUUCUAUUAUUUUUUUCCAUUAAAAAAAUGGAAUUAAGACAGACUUUUGAAUAAAUACAUUAAAAAUUUGCAUGGGUAAGAAAUAGACUGAUCCUAAAAUGUACAAAAUAGGUCAAUAGGUCAUAAGAUUAUACGGUAACUAUAUUUGCAAUGUAUUUUUUCCGGUGUCUGUCCUUUGAUGCUAUGGCCUGUUGGCUACGCAAAUAAAGUCCUUGAACAUGAACAAUGUACAAAAUGCAAUUAGAAUGGGAAACAAAAGAUGAACAGGUGAAGGCAUCAAUGAUACACUGGGCAAUAGAUAUAGGAUGUAAUAUCGAAAUGUCAACAUGAGAAAGACUGUG